This 464-nucleotide ribosomal RNA is filed under the name uncultured bacterium. RNAcentral's name for it is "partial 16S ribosomal RNA". It matches the Rfam family "Bacterial small subunit ribosomal RNA", at positions 339 to 795 of the family's 1533-position model. The record is from RNAcentral.
CUACGGGGGGCUGCAGUGGGGAAUAUUGGACAAUGGGGGAAACCCUGAUCCAGCAAUGCCGCGUGUGUGAAGAAGGCCUGCGGGUUGUAAAGCACUUUCGGUUGGGAGGACUGCUUCUAGCACUAAUAUUGUUGGAAGUUGACGUUACCUUCAGAAGAAGCACCGGCUAACUCCGUGCCAGCAGCCGCGGUAAUACGGAGGGUGCAAGCGUUAAUCGGAAUUACUGGGCGUAAAGCGCGCGUAGGCGGCUAGAUCAGUCGGGUGUGAAAGCCCCGGGCUUAACCUGGGAACUGCAUCCGAUACUGUCGAGCUUGAGUACAGGAGAGGAGAGUGGAAUUCCACAUGUAGCGGUGAAAUGCGUAGAUAUGUGGAGGAACACCAAUGGCGAAGGCAGCUCUCUGGCCUGAUACUGACGCUGAGGUGCGAAAGCGUGGGAGCAAACAGGAUUAGAUACCCGCGUAGUC